Non-coding RNA from Ricinus communis (castor bean), 107 nucleotides. The record is from Rfam. NCBI's taxonomy places the organism in Eukaryota, Viridiplantae, Streptophyta, Magnoliopsida, Malpighiales, Euphorbiaceae.
ACUCCAUGACAUGGACAUUAACAUUGCGAGUCCUUGAACCGCUCCCAUGCUUCAUACAGAGAUUCACCAUGGUGUUAAGUGAAACUCGUGAUCUCUUAUAUAAAUUU